UUAAGCGACUAAGCGUACACGGUGGAUGCCCUGGCAGUCAGAGGCGAUGAAGGACGUGCUAAUCUGCGAAAAGCGUCGGUAAGGUGAUAUGAACCGUUAUAACCGGCGAUGUCCGAAUGGGGAAACCCAGUGCAAUUCGUUGCACUAUCGUUAACUGAAUACAUAGGUUAACGAGGCGAACCGGGGGAACUGAAACAUCUAAGUACCCCGAGGAAAAGAAAUCAACCGAGAUUCCCCCAGUAGCGGCGAGCGAACGGGGAGCAGCCCAGAGUCUGAAUCAGCUUGUGUGUUAGUGGAACGGUCUGGAAAGUCCGACGGUACAGGGUGAUAGUCCCGUACACCAAAAUGCACAGGUUGUGAACUCGAAGAGUAGGGCGGGACACGUGGUAUCCUGUCUGAAUAUGGGGGGACCAUCCUCCAAGGCUAAAUACUCCUGACUGACCGAUAGUGAACCAGUACCGUGAGGGAAAGGCGAAAAGAACCCCGGCGAGGGGAGUGAAAAAGAACCUGAAACCGUGUACGUACAAGCAGUGGGAGCACCUUCGGGUGUGACUGCGUACCUUUUGUAUAAUGGGUCAGCGACUUAUAUUCUGUAGCAAGGUUAACCGUAUAGGGGAGCCGCAGGGAAACCGAGUCUUAACUGGGCGUUAAGUUGCAGGGUAUAGACCCGAAACCCGGUGAUCUAGCCAUGGGCAGGUUGAAGGUUGGGUAACACUAACUGGAGGACCGAACCGACUAAUGUUGAAAAAUUAGCGGAUGACUUGUGGCUGGGGGUGAAAGGCCAAUCAAACCGGGAGAUAGCUGGUUCUCCCCGAAAGCUAUUUAGGUAGCGCCUCGUGAAUUCAUCUUCGGGGGUAGAGCACUGUUUCGGCUAGGGGGUCAUCCCGACUUACCAACCCGAUGCAAACUACGAAUACCGAAGAAUGUUAUCACGGGAGACACACGGCGGGUGCUAACGUCCGUCGUGAAGAGGGAAACAACCCAGACCGCCAGCUAAGGUCCCAAAGUCAUGGUUAAGUGGGAAACGAUGUGGGAAGGCACAGACAGCCAGGAUGUUGGCUUAGAAGCAGCCAUCAUUUAAAGAAAGCGUAAUAGCUCACUGGUCGAGUCGGCCUGCGCGGAAGAUGUAACGGGGCUAAACCAUGCACCGAAGCUGCGGCAGCGACACUAUGUGUUGUUGGGUAGGGGAGCGUUCUGUAAGCCUGCGAAGGUGUGCUGUGAGGCAUGCUGGAGGUAUCAGAAGUGCGAAUGCUGACAUAAGUAACGAUAAAGCGGGUGAAAAGCCCGCUCGCCGGAAGACCAAGGGUUCCUGUCCAACGUUAAUCGGGGCAGGGUGAGUCGACCCCUAAGGCGAGGCCGAAAGGCGUAGUCGAUGGGAAACAGGUUAAUAUUCCUGUACUUGGUGUUACUGCGAAGGGGGACGGAGAAGGCUAUGUUAGCCGGGCGACGGUUGUCCCGGUUUAAGCAUGUAGGCUGGUUGUCCAGGCAAAUCCGGAUAAUCAAGGCUGAGGUGUGAUGACGAGGCACUACGGUGCUGAAGUAACAAAUGCCCUGCUUCCAGGAAAAGCCUCUAAGCAUCAGGUAACAUUAAAUCGUACCCCAAACCGACACAGGUGGUCAGGUAGAGAAUACCAAGGCGCUUGAGAGAACUCGGGUGAAGGAACUAGGCAAAAUGGUGCCGUAACUUCGGGAGAAGGCACGCUGGUGUGUAGGUGAAGUCCCUGCGGAUGGAGCUGAGACCAGUCGAAGAUACCAGCUGGCUGCAACUGUUUAUUAAAAACACAGCACUGUGCAAACACGAAAGUGGACGUAUACGGUGUGACGCCUGCCCGGUGCCGGAAGGUUAAUUGAUGGGGUUAUCCGUAAGGAGAAGCUCUUGAUCGAAGCCCCGGUAAACGGCGGCCGUAACUAUAACGGUCCUAAGGUAGCGAAAUUCCUUGUCGGGUAAGUUCCGACCUGCACGAAUGGCGUAAUGAUGGCCAGGCUGUCUCCACCCGAGACUCAGUGAAAUUGAACUCGCUGUGAAGAUGCAGUGUACCCGCGGCAAGACGGAAAGACCCCGUGAACCUUUACUAUAGCUUGACACUGAACAUUGAGCCUUGAUGUGUAGGAUAGGUGGGAGGCUUUGAAGCGUGGACGCCAGUCUGCGUGGAGCCAACCUUGAAAUACCACCCUUUAAUGUUUGAUGUUCUAACGUUGGCCCCUUACCGGGGUUGCGGACAGUGUCUGGUGGGUAGUUUGACUGGGGCGGUCUCCUCCCAAAGCGUAACGGAGGAGCACGAAGGUUAGCUAAUCCUGGUCGGACAUCAGGAGGUUAGUGCAAUGGCAUAAGCUAGCUUGACUGCGAGCGUGACGGCGCGAGCAGGUGCGAAAGCAGGUCAUAGUGAUCCGGUGGUUCUGAAUGGAAGGGCCAUCGCUCAACGGAUAAAAGGUACUCCGGGGAUAACAGGCUGAUACCGCCCAAGAGUUCAUAUCGACGGCGGUGUUUGGCACCUCGAUGUCGGCUCAUCACAUCCUGGGGCUGAAGUAGGUCCCAAGGGUAUGGCUGUUCGCCAUUUAAAGUGGUACGCGAGCUGGGUUUAGAACGUCGUGAGACAGUUCGGUCCCUAUCUGCCGUGGGCGCUGGAGAAUUGAGGGGGGCUGCUCCUAGUACGAGAGGACCGGAGUGGACGCAUCACUGGUGUUCGGGUUGUCAUGCCAAUGGCACUGCCCGGUAGCUAAAUGCGGAAGAGAUAAGUGCUGAAAGCAUCUAAGCACGAAACUUGCCCCGAGAUGAGUUCUCCCUGAGACUUUAAGUCUCCUGAAGGAACGUUGAAGACGACGACGUUGAUAGGCCGGGUGUGUAAGCGCAGCGAUGCGUUGAGCUAACCGGUACUAAUGAACCGUGAGGCUUAACCUU
RNAcentral lists this ribosomal RNA (2899 nucleotides) under Klebsiella pneumoniae. Its description in RNAcentral is "bacterial LSU rRNA". It matches the Rfam family "Bacterial large subunit ribosomal RNA". The record is from RNAcentral. Lineage: Bacteria; Pseudomonadati; Pseudomonadota; Gammaproteobacteria; Enterobacterales; Enterobacteriaceae.